GGUGAAUUGGGGAAAAUCAACUACAAGGAUUUUCUACGGAAUUAGAAACCCGGUUGAGAUGUAGUCUAGUGUGGGCUCUUGUAGCCCGAUGAGCGCUGAGAGCUCAUCUGAGUUGUGUUUCCAGUGUUGGAUUAUAAUGACUAUGUGCAGAUCCUGCUUGAUGAUGACCCCUACGCUCCUGCUCCUCCUGCUCCUCCUGCUCCGCCCUCUCCGAAGUAUACUGUCUAGAACAACUCCUUUUUUGUGUGAAUAUCUUUUGUAGCCUAGUAUGGCUAACAAGUUGUGAACAACUUAAACUUUCAUGUUUUUGGACCCAAUGGGUCGAUCCUUGUAUAUAUAGUAGUAGCUAACCUAACUACCUUCCUUCCUUCCCGCUGCAAUAUAUACGUAAAGCUUUUGUCAAGUA
Long non-coding RNA from Ipomoea triloba (trilobed morning glory), 406 nucleotides. RefSeq lists it as uncharacterized. The transcript is spliced from 2 exons. The record is from RefSeq and is a predicted model, not a curated record. NCBI's taxonomy places the organism in Eukaryota, Viridiplantae, Streptophyta, Magnoliopsida, Solanales, Convolvulaceae.